Styela clava is the source of this 1569-nucleotide non-coding RNA. The record is from RefSeq and is a predicted model, not a curated record. NCBI's taxonomy places the organism in Eukaryota, Metazoa, Chordata, Ascidiacea, Stolidobranchia, Styelidae.
UUUUAUUAUUAUUAAGUAUUCUGUUGAUUUCUUGUUUUUAAUUACUGAAAAACAUACUGCCUCACUCAAAUUAUUAUACAAAUGGAAGAAAGGCAUGAGUCUGGAUUUCAAGGCUCGAAUUGACAGUCACUCGACUGUUCUGAUUUUUUUAAAGUCAAAAAAAUUACAUUUGUUGUUUUCAAUAAUGAUUUAAUUUACCAGUUAGGUAUUACCAGUAUAUAUUUUAAUGUAAAUUAAUCUAUUCAACAGCUGCCGCUCAUUCCUGGUAAUGUUGUCCUUGAGCGAAAGAUGUUGAAAAGUUCUCCGAUAACCAGAUGAUAUUGAAGACUUUGUAUGGGAAUGGUUAACAAUGCAUUUGGAGACAGAUACAUGGUAGCAGAUACAUUUAUACAACUCUUCCCAGAAGAUGCAGAUGAUAGCUGCGAUGAUCUCAAGAAAAAUAAAACACGGGUUGGAUUUUCUCUUGUGCAUCGACGUGGUACAUCCACCAGUUACACCAAAUGAGUUACAAAAUAGAAAUCCGAAGCAAGACAUGGCAAAAAGAUCGAAUUUUGCUCAUGGAGUUAUACCAAGAAAGAAGAUCUUUCAUAGGAAGUAUGUUUGAUCGUUCCAUUGAUUGCAUUUUGUAUUAAUUAUUUCGUUGUUGAUUGUGAAUGCAGCAAGUUACGACUAAAGUGUUUCCCAAUACUGUAUUUAAAAUGUAAAUAAGCUUUCCUCUUUGCCAAUAAAUCAUCAGCCAUAACAAUAAAUAUAGGUUGAAUAGAUAUCAACGUAUGCUGGAGAAAAUGUAAACAUCCAAAUACCAUAUUUAUAGAAUUAUGUUGCCGACAUCUGCCUACUAUUUAUUCUUGCAAAAUGUGAUAUUUAGAUAGGGUUGGUGUCAUUGGUUUAGAGCAUACAGUUUCAAUGUUGUUUUCGUUUGGAAUGACAUCACAACGAAGGGAAUCAUUUUUUUCUAACAAUGUCAAUAACUAACCAUCUCUUUAUGUUUCAGUCCAAAUCCUUGCGACAGUCCGUUUACAAAUGAUUGUGGGGCAAGAGCUUUGUGUUUGGAUAUGUCAGCAAUCAAACAUAUACUUGUGAAUGUAAAGCUGGAUUAUUGAUCAAUCUCCUAGUGUUGAAUUACCAGGAAGAUGCUGUGGCCUUAAAUUGAGAGAAUCCGGACUGCAGAUCGUCUACAUCUUGAUCAUCUUAGCUUGCCUAAUGUUAAUCGUGAUAUUUGCUCUCAUUUAUGCUGCAUACCUGAAAUUUGCAAAACAAGGGAAUUAUAACCCCCCUAAAGAUGACGAUUUGCAACAACAAGUACAAGUCUAAAGAAAUAUCCAAUUGUCAAGUUAAAAUUUAGUUUGAGAAAAUAAAUAAAUCUUGUUAUUUUCUUUUGUUCCAACAAUUUGCAGUGCCGAAUAUUUUAUCAAAUGAUUAUUAAAUAUUGCCAUUUUAAAGUGCACUUAUCAAUCAAUAAUUGUCAAAUUUCAAUGCAGCCAUAUUCUAUUAUUUUAAGAUAGAAUUUUAUAUAAAAUAUAGUCAUGCUCAUAUUAAACUGGGAAAUAAAUAACAAAUUAAUAAAAA